GAUGAAGAACGCAGCGAAAUGCGAUAAGUAAUGUGAAUUGCAGAAUUCAGUGAAUCAUCGAAUCUUUGAACGCACAUUGCGCCCGCCAGUAUUCUGGCGGGCAUGCCUGUUCGAGCGUCAUUUCAACCAUCAAGCCCCAGGCUUGUGUUGGAGCCCUGCGGCUGCCUCAGCCUCCCAAAACCAGUGGCGGGCUCGCUAUCACACCGAGUGCAGUAGUUUACUCUUCGCUCAGGGCGUGUGGCGGGUGCUAGCCGUAAAACCCCCAACUUCUCAAGGUUGACCUCGGAUCAGGUAGGAAUACCCGCUGAACUUAAGCAUAUCAAUAAGCGGAGGA
This 334-nucleotide unclassified non-coding RNA is filed under the name soil metagenome. Its description in RNAcentral is "partial contains 5.8S ribosomal RNA, internal transcribed spacer 2, and large subunit ribosomal RNA". The stretch from base 1 to 120 matches the Rfam family "5.8S ribosomal RNA", at positions 35 to 154 of the family's 154-position model. The record is from RNAcentral.